This 377-nucleotide long non-coding RNA is filed under the name Hordeum vulgare. RNAcentral describes it as "long non-coding RNA (HVUL_LNC002114)". Lineage: Eukaryota; Viridiplantae; Streptophyta; Magnoliopsida; Poales; Poaceae. The record is from RNAcentral.
AAGUGUGACUGUUAGCCAGACGGGGGCUUCCUCAGUCACACUUCCCUAAGGCUUUGUUCGGUUGAGAGGGAAGUGAAAGGGAUUUGACAGGGAUUGAGGGGAUUAAAUCCCUAACAAGUCAAAAUCCCCUCCAAUCCUCUCCAAUCCCCUUGGGAGGAGGAUUAACCGAACAAGGCCUAACUUGUGGUGUGGCAAAGUGUGGCAACCUUAGUGUACCAACCAAACAUGCCCUACAUAUUUCAUUGAAUCCUUACCAGAAUACCAACUUUGCCUCAGUCAAACUUGCCUAACUUGUGGUGAGGCAACCUUAGUAUACCAACCAAACAUGCCCUACAUAUUUCAUUGAAUCCUUACCAGAACACCAACUUUGCCCUGUG